UGGCUCAGUUGGUAAAGCAUCUGCCUGCAAUGCGGGAGACCCAGGUUCAAUCCCUGG
RNAcentral lists this transfer RNA (57 nucleotides) under Odocoileus virginianus texanus. It matches the Rfam family "tRNA", at positions 8 to 63 of the family's 71-position model. Rfam says of the family: Transfer RNA (tRNA) molecules are approximately 80 nucleotides in length. Their secondary structure includes four short double-helical elements and three loops (D, anti-codon, and T loops). Further hydrogen bonds mediate the characteristic L-shaped molecular structure. tRNAs have two regions of fundamental functional importance: the anti-codon, which is responsible for specific mRNA codon recognition, and the 3' end, to which the tRNAs corresponding amino acid is attached (by aminoacyl-tRNA synthetases). tRNAs cope with the degeneracy of the genetic code in two manners: having more than one tRNA (with a specific anti-codon) for a particular amino acid; and 'wobble' base-pairing, i.e. permitting non-standard base-pairing at the 3rd anti-codon position. RNAcentral also lists the same sequence under 3 other names. Lineage: Eukaryota; Metazoa; Chordata; Mammalia; Artiodactyla; Cervidae. The record is from Rfam by way of RNAcentral.